CCUACGGGAGGCAGCAGUGAGGAAUAUUGGUCAAUGGGCGGGAGCCUGAACCAGCCAAGUCGCGUGAGGGAAGACGGUCCUAUGGAUUGUAAACCUCUUUAGGCGGGGAGCAAUGCCGGGCACGCGUGCCCGGAGGGAGAGUACCCGAAGAAUAAGCAUCGGCUAACUCCGUGCCAGCAGCCGCGGUAAUACGGAGGAUGCGAGCGUUAUCCGGUUUUAGUGGGUUUAAAGGGUGCGUAGGCGGAGUUUUAAGUCAGCGGUAAAAUGUCCGGGCUCAACCCGGGCCGGUCGUUGAAACUGGGGAUCUUGAGUGGGCGAGAAGUAUGCGGAAUGCGUGGUGUAGCGGUGAAAUGCAUAGAUAUCACGCAGAACUCCGAUUGCGAAGGCAGCAUACCGGCGCCCGACUGACGCUGAGGCACGAAAGCGUGGGGAUCGAACAGGAUUAGAUACCCUUGUAGUC
This 460-nucleotide ribosomal RNA is filed under the name uncultured bacterium. RNAcentral's name for it is "partial 16S ribosomal RNA". It matches the Rfam family "Bacterial small subunit ribosomal RNA", at positions 338 to 795 of the family's 1533-position model. The record is from RNAcentral.